GUGAAUCAUCGAAUCUUUGAACGCAACUGGCGCUUUUUGGUAUUCCAAAAAGCAUGCCUGUUUGAUACCGUAAACCAAAAUGAACAUAGAAUUUAUUUUAUGGUCAUCUAUGGAUGUUUCUUCAAUUUGAAGUCAUCUAAAAUAUAUUUUAUAAUAGUGAACCUCUUAGCAAUUUUAAGACGUGAUAAUAUUUCUCUUGAAGAACUUUUCUCACUUAUUGAUUUUGCUUAAUGUUCUGCUAAUAAAUGUUUGUGCUCACUUCUUGUAAGUGUGUACAACCCUGAAGGUCGGUAUCAAAUC
This 300-nucleotide unclassified non-coding RNA is filed under the name uncultured fungus. RNAcentral's name for it is "sequence contains 5.8S rRNA gene, ITS2". The stretch from base 1 to 66 matches the Rfam family "5.8S ribosomal RNA", at positions 84 to 154 of the family's 154-position model. Lineage: Eukaryota; Fungi. The record is from RNAcentral.